AUACUUACCUGGUACGGGAGGCACCCUGAUCCGCUAGGGUGGUCCUCCCAGGGGCGAGGCCUAACCAUUGCACCUCGGAUGGGCUGACCCCUGCGAUCGCCCCAAAUUUGGGCGACUCGAGUACGAAAUUUUUUAGUGUGGGGGUUCUGCGUUCGCGGUCUAACCCCCG
RNAcentral lists this small nuclear RNA (169 nucleotides) under Gigantopelta aegis. RNAcentral describes it as "U1 spliceosomal RNA". It matches the Rfam family "U1 spliceosomal RNA". From Rfam's summary of the family: U1 is a small nuclear RNA (snRNA) component of the spliceosome (involved in pre-mRNA splicing). Its 5' end forms complementary base pairs with the 5' splice junction, thus defining the 5' donor site of an intron. Lineage: Eukaryota; Metazoa; Mollusca; Gastropoda; Neomphalida; Peltospiridae. The record is from RNAcentral.